CACGGGGGGAGCAAGCGUUGUUCGGAAUCACUGGGCGUAAAGGGCGUGUAGGCGGUCGAGCAAGUGGAAUGUGAAAUCCCUCGGCUUACCCGAGGACCUGCAUUUCAAACUGCUCGACUUGAGUACGGGAGAGGAUGAGGGAAUUCCUGGUGUAGCGGUGAAAUGCGUAGAUAUCAGGAGGAACACCGGUGGCGAAGGCGCUCAUCUGGCCCGAUACUGACGCUAAAGCGCGAAAGCUAGGGGAGCGAACGGG
RNAcentral lists this ribosomal RNA (253 nucleotides) under uncultured bacterium. RNAcentral's name for it is "partial 16S ribosomal RNA". It matches the Rfam family "Bacterial small subunit ribosomal RNA", at positions 524 to 776 of the family's 1533-position model. The record is from RNAcentral.